CAGUAGCCGCGGUAAUACGAAGGGGGCUAGCGUUGUUCGGAAUUACUGGGCGUAAAGCGCACGUAGGCGGACAUUUAAGUCAGGGGUGAAAUCACGGGGCUCAACCCCGGAACUGCCUUUGAUACUGGGUGUCUAGAGUAUGGAAGAGGUGAGUGGAAUUCCGAGUGUAGAGGUGAAAUUCGUAGAUAUUCGGAGGAACACCAGUGGCGAAGGCGGCUCACUGGUCCAUUACUGACGCUGAGGUGCGAAAGCGUGGGGAGCAAACAGGAUUAGAUACCCGCGUAGUCCCUGUCUCUUAUAC
Molecule: ribosomal RNA, 301 nt
Filed under: uncultured bacterium
Lineage: Bacteria
Description: partial 16S ribosomal RNA
Rfam family: Bacterial small subunit ribosomal RNA
Source: RNAcentral